GGCAUAUGUAGAUGCACACACUAUCUACAAAAGAAAUAAAACUACACUAGACAUAUUUUUGGAUUUUGGUUAGUAAAUAAAGAAAAUAAUGUAUGAUACAAUCAAACAUGUUUGGUGAUCUCCCAAUGCAAACCCAAUGAAUGAUGUGUGAGGAGGAUACCAAGGUGUUAUCCCAAUGCUAAUGCCAAGUUAAUGAGAUGGCAUGAGGGAUCUUAGGGUCAAAAUAGGGGUCUUACAGCUGCCCCUAAGGUCAUUGUAUUAGGGGAUGAGAAGGUUAAAAUCUUC
This 285-nucleotide long non-coding RNA is filed under the name Lathyrus oleraceus (garden pea). Its description in RNAcentral is "Pisum sativum (pea) long non-coding RNA (PSAT_LNC012536)". Lineage: Eukaryota; Viridiplantae; Streptophyta; Magnoliopsida; Fabales; Fabaceae. The record is from RNAcentral.